Molecule: ribosomal RNA, 402 nt
Filed under: bacterium
Lineage: Bacteria
Description: partial 16S ribosomal RNA
Rfam family: Bacterial small subunit ribosomal RNA
Source: RNAcentral
UGGGGAAUUUUGCACAAUGGGGGAAACCCUGAUGCAGCGACGCCGCGUGAUUUAGAAGGCCUUCGGGUUGUAAAAAUCUUUUCUAUGGGAAGAAAAUGACAGUACCAUAGGAAUAAGGACCGGCUAAUUACGUGCCAGCAGCCGCGGUAAUACGUAAGGUCCGAGCGUUGUCCGGAAUCAUUGGGCGUAAAGGGUACGUAGGCGGGUAAGCAAGUUAGAAGUGAAAUCCUAUAGCUCAACUAUAGUAAGCUUUUAAAACUGCUCAUCUUGAGGUAUGGAAGGGAAAGUGGAAUUCCUAGUGUAGCGGUGAAAUGCGCAGAUAUUAGGAGGAAUACCGGUGGCGAAGUCGACUUUCUGGCCAUAACCUGACGCUGAGGUACGAAAGCGUGGGUAGCAAACAGG